UACGGGGGGGGCAAGCGUUGUUCGGAAUUACUGGGCGUAAAGGGUGCGCAGGCGGUUUUGUAAGCCAGAUGUGAAAUCCCCGGGCUCAACCUGGGAAUGGCAUUUGGGACUGCAAGGCUAGAGUGUGGCAGAGGAGACUGGAAUUCCCGGUGUAGCAGUGAAAUGCGUAGAUAUCGGGAGGAAUACCGAUGGCGAAGGCAGGUCUCUGGGCUGACACUGACGCUCAUGCACGAAAGCGUGGGGAGCAAACAGG
RNAcentral lists this ribosomal RNA (253 nucleotides) under uncultured bacterium. RNAcentral describes it as "partial 16S ribosomal RNA". It matches the Rfam family "Bacterial small subunit ribosomal RNA", at positions 524 to 776 of the family's 1533-position model. The record is from RNAcentral.